GUGGGGAAUAUUGGACAAUGGGCGAAAGCCUGAUCCAGCCAUGCCGCGUGUGUGAAGAAGGUCUUCGGAUUGUAAAGCACUUUAAGUUGGGAGGAAGGGCAGUAAGUUAAUACCUUGCUGUUUUGACGUUACCGACAGAAUAAGCACCGGCUAACUUCGUGCCAGCAGCCGCGGUAAUACGAAGGGUGCAAGCGUUAAUCGGAAUUACUGGGCGUAAAGCGCGCGUAGGUGGUUUUGUAAGUUGGAGGUGAAAUCCCCGGGCUCAACCUGGGAACUGCUUUCAAAACUGCUGAGCUAGAGUACGGUAGAGGGUGGUGGAAUUUCCUGUGUAGCGGUGAAAUGCGUAGAUAUAGGAAGGAACACCAGUGGCGAAGGCGACCACCUGGACUGAUACUGACACUGAGGCACGAAAGCGUGGGGAGCAAACAGGAUUAGAUACCCUGGUAGUCC
This 450-nucleotide ribosomal RNA is filed under the name uncultured bacterium. RNAcentral describes it as "partial 16S ribosomal RNA". It matches the Rfam family "Bacterial small subunit ribosomal RNA", at positions 354 to 796 of the family's 1533-position model. The record is from RNAcentral.